GAUGAGAGGAGCAACUCUACUGAAGCUUUCCUGCAUGCUUUUAACAUUAUUUUUGCUUUGGCUUUGACUGGAAGAUCUAACGUGCGCUCUUGUGGAUGCGGCACAAAGGCCAAACAACAGGAGUGAAAUGCAAUCAGUUUCAUUGAGCGGCUCAUUCAGCCCCAGACAGACAGGAAUGAUACCGGGCCCCAAGCGCUUCACGAGGACGAUCACUAUCCCGAGUCUCCUAGCUCCUGCAAUGAAGGUUACCAGGAAAAGGCCAGAACAGGAUUUAAGCUGAGUCACCGGAUCCUGAGGAUUAUUCUGCACCGCCGUCAUGUUCAGUGAACCCCCCAUGAUUCACUCGCGUCCCAUCAGCCCAAACCGUCCUGCGGGUUUCACUCAUUCACAUCGCUGCACACAAAACAUCACAGAAGGAGACUGAUGGCAAUGCUUUGCAUUUGAGGACUGCUAUAAACAUCAAAUAAAUGGGACUGAAACGAGCAUCUGAAGUUCUGCUGUCACACUGAGAG
Long non-coding RNA from Onychostoma macrolepis, 512 nucleotides. RefSeq lists it as uncharacterized. The transcript has 4 exons. NCBI's taxonomy places the organism in Eukaryota, Metazoa, Chordata, Actinopteri, Cypriniformes, Cyprinidae. The record is from RefSeq and is a predicted model, not a curated record.